Molecule: long non-coding RNA, 4156 nt
Organism: Heterocephalus glaber (naked mole-rat)
Lineage: Eukaryota; Metazoa; Chordata; Mammalia; Rodentia; Bathyergidae
Source: Ensembl
GUGGUGCCUGACUCUGCCAGACUCUCUGUCUGUGCCCCAGGGAAGCGACAUGCAGCUCCCAGGACUUUGUUUCCUUCAUCGGUAAAAUAGGAAUUUAAAAACCGGCACUAAACGUCUGCUCUCAAGGAUCACUGUGAGGAUGAAACGGCAGCUCCAGUAUGGCCCAGCCAGGUGUGGACAGGAGGCUUCUGGACAUGAAGAUGUGAACACACUGUGUGGUCUGCAAGCCUGGUGUGCACACGGCUGCUGGCUGACACGCCUGUCCCAGCCACAGCCCCAUGGCAUGCUUGUCUCCAGGCAUGAGUCCAAGCUGGCUCCAUCUUUCAGCACUGGACCCUAGAGAGCAUCCAGUCUUCUUCAAACCUCUGUUUCCCCAUCUGCAAAAUGGCAGUCUCAGGGCCUCCACCCUGCACCUCAAAUUCUGAGGGCCUGAUGCAUUUCUGAGUUCCCAACUUUUGGAUUUUUAGAAAAGUAAUAGAGUGUGGGUGUUACUUCAUAUGUAACACUAUGUUAUGGAUUAGCUCCAAAAUGUACCCCAAAAGUCAUAUGGGUGGAAGGUGACUGCAUCAUGGAUUCACUCACUGGUGACCUCAGGGCUGAGUGUGCUGUUAGGCGUGGGCCUGGCUGACGCUGGUCCCUGGGGUCUCUCUGCUUCCUGGGUGCAGCUGUCCUCUGCUGGGCCUUCCACCAAACCUUUCUGCUGUGGAGCUGGUAGACCAUGGACAGAACCCACUGAGACUGUGAGCUAAGUAAACCUGUCCUCCCCUAGGCUGUGGGUGCUGGUAUUGUAUUCCAGCAAUGGAACGUGACCGAGACACACCACUAGUCCUGCGUCAAACUUACCAACAUUUCUCCAGCAAAUCUAUGAAUGUCCAAAUUAAGCAGAUUACGUAAAACCACGAGUAAAUUCAUGCUAGCUGAGGUCAGGUUUUGCCACCAAAUGAAGUAAUUGUUUUAAGUUGCUGUGUUCAGAACAUUGUGCGUGAAGAACUAGAGAUGUGAGUAGCCGUCCAGUGCCACCUCCCUCAUGGGAAGACAGGAGUCCUGUGCCUGUGGAGGGUGCUGCAGGGACAUGGCUUUACAACACUGGCUGCCAUGCACAGCUUUUCAUGGUGGCUCUGAGCCAGGAGCCAUUUUCCUUAUGAUUGGUGUAUGUUUGUGGUACAUAAAAGUUCCGUAUAUGUGCCCCUCUCUCUUCCCUGGGUCCCUGUCCCCUUCUCCACAAAGUCUGCCUCCCCGUUUCCUACCAUCUCUUUUAUUUUGCUCUUUAGAUUAUUUAUAUUUUGGGUUUCUCAGAGAUGAGAAACUGAUAUUUAACCCCUGUCUGAUUUCUUUCACUUAGCAUGAUGGUCUCAAGAUGCACCCAUUCUGUUAAUGACUCACAUCUGUCCUGCUUCUCAGCUGAGUUGUACUCCAUCGUGUGUGCAGCAUACACCACUUUUUUUUGGUACUGGGAAUUGAACUCAGUUCCUUGCACUUGCACAGCAGGCAGCAGAACCACUGAGCUAAAUCCCCGGCCCUACGCCACAUUUUAAUGCCCAUAGUGAAGAGGGGAACAGAGGCCCAGGGCAGUUGAGUAGCUGCUCAUUGUACAUAGCUCUAAAUGACCAGCUGGCCCUCAAUGUCCUAGCCUGGCAGCAUCCACCCAUUAUGUGCUUGUCACUAAGCUGGGAAGGAGAAGUGGCAACUCAGGCCUCUGACUCCUUUCUUUGUUUGCUUGCGGUCACACUCUGGGCAGGUGCUCACCACUGAAAUGGACUCCAGCCAGGCCUGGACUUUGACUCUGCCCUCUCAGCUCACCAGGCCUCUACUGGAGGGAGAUGUGAAAGAGAAAGUUAAAAGCGAGCACGUCUUUCUGGAAGUCUGGCUGGGCCUGCACUCAAUCUCCCAGCCCCGCUGUCCGCACUGCAGUGCUUGCUCUCCUCGGGCAGCGGCCUGACUGCCUGGCUGCUCCUGCUCUGUCCAGGCAGCCCAGCUGGUCAGAGAUCCCUGCAGGGCCCCGGCCCUCAGAGAGGUCACCCAGUCCCCCUUCCCAGCGGCCAGGUUGCCUGGCCAGUGUGGAUGUGGGGAGGAGCAGAGGUCUCCUGGAUGCUGUGGCUGCACAGACAUCUCCAGACUGCCAAGUUCUGCCUGCCUCCCGUGCAGCCAGCACCCGGCCAGGCUUGAAUCAUUCUUCAGCUUGAGCUGCGUCCCACGCUGCCGGCUCCAGUUCGAUCCCUGCAGAGCAGCACUCAUCCACCCACACUUGCUGCUGGCACCCGGUUGCCUGUCAAACUCACCCCGCUGCAUGCUGGGUCCUCACACCCAUGGCACACAUCCCAGUUCCAGGGUCGCUGCAGUGACGGAUUGAGUCCCAGAGCUUGAAAUUGUCCUCAACUCUGCCCUUGCAUCCCUGUCUGAUGGUGAGGUCUCUGGGUUCCUGCAGCCUGGUCACUCUGGUCAGCGGGUCCAGCUCCGAUGACUGCAGUGUUUCCUGACAUGUCCCCUGCUGCCUUGUGUGUGGUUUGUGAAAUCAUGAGAAAUAGACACAUUGAUCUCUGCCCUGGUCCCUGGCCUACAGCUGCUGAAGCCCUUGCAGACAGGGGCACUGGGAGGUUGUUUGUUCUAGUAUCGGGUCUUUGACCCCAGUUCCAGAGCUCCUAGGAUGUCUGUCAUUUCCUGAGUGAUAGGAGGGUCCAGCACACAGGUCCUCGUCCUCUGGAAUUUCCUGGGAGCUGGAACUUUGUCAAGCAGCAAUGGAGGUCCGUUGGGCUUCGCCACAGUUCUGCAUGACCUAAAAUCCCUCCACACUUGGAUUUCAUGAUGUUUUAUGGAAUGUGCAGUGACCUUGUUUUCCACGUUUCGAACCAGAAAAUCUUUGGACUCAUGGGAACAUGGGUUUGGAGCCAGACAGACAGCCUGACAACAGGGCUGUGGAAGAACUCAAGGCCGGUGCUGGUCCAGGGAGGUAAAAAUCUACCCUCAGGAGCUGUAACAGGGUGAGGGCCUAAGGCACCUGGGCUCAACUUUUCUCCCAUGAAUUAUACUUCCUGCCACAGAAAUCUGGAAGCUGCGAUACACACAGACGUCAGCCUUCUAACUUAGCCUGGCCGGCACGGAAAUGAAGUCCUAGGUCCCCCACCUUGAGGACACCCGACUCCAUGGGAACUCCACCCCAGACCAAGAUGCAUCUCUGUCCCAAGGCUUGUCCUCCAUUCUCUGAGAGGGGACUGUUUUAAUUUUGCCUAAUAAACCUCUUCACUCCUCUUGCUGAUGAAUCUUGAAAAUACUUUUUCUGCGAUGGAAGUCAGCGAACUUUCAACCUGUUGCAUGGGUGUGAAUGCUGCUGAUCGAGGGGACCUGUCUCUGGGCCGACGAACCUGCCCUCACCAGCAUGGCGCAGUCGCAGCUGAAGAGAAGAAGUGGCGCCACGGGCAUCCACACACUCGCAGAGUGCACACCGUGGGCCAAGCCGAGAGGUGCCUCAGUGCUAACAGAAUUCUGCACAGGGUUAGAUGCGAGCCUUACCAACAGCUAGAAACCAUACACUAUGACACGGAUUACCUUUUUAGCUAUUUUAUUUUAUUAUUAUUAUUUUUUUGAGAUGGGGUCUUGCUACAUAGCCCAGGCUGGCUUUGAACUCACGGAGAUCCUCCUACCUCCCUAGUCUUGGGAUUCUAAGUGUGCAUUACACACCUGGCUCUUUUUAGUCUAUUUUAACUCUUGAUCAGUAAGCUUAUAAAACUGUGUUUCAACCAGCUUUGAACCAUCAUAUACCAUAAUUUUUUAUCUGAAUGAAAUUAUUAAGGCAGAUAUUCAUAAUAUAAUUAAACAGAAACACUAUGAAGUUCUGGUUUUUUUUGGUUUUUUUCAGUACUGAGAAUUGAACCCAGGGCCUUCACACUGAGCUACAUCCCAGCCCCUUUUACUUUUUUUUUUUUUUGGUACUGGGAGUCUAACUCGGGACCUUGUGCUUGUGGGGCAGGCCGCAGAACCACUGAGCUAAAUCCGGCCCCUUUUUUAAUUUUUAUUUUGAGACAGGCUCUUGCUAAGUCACCAAGUCGCCCAGGUUGGGUUCAAAUUUGUGGUCCUUCUGCCUCAGCCUCCCAGAGUGCUGGGAUCACACGUGUGCCCCACCCCACCCAGCUUAGUGUUCUUCUAGCCUUAAUAUUCUUUC